Molecule: long non-coding RNA, 2244 nt
Organism: Anolis carolinensis (green anole)
Lineage: Eukaryota; Metazoa; Chordata; Lepidosauria; Squamata; Anolidae
Source: Ensembl
GUUUUAAUCUUUUAAAAAAUAAUAAUAAUAAGUGAAUAUGCUGCUUUUGCUGCUGAUCAGGCAUCAUUUAGAAGAAAAGACAACAAUGCUGAACAAGGUUGAAGUGACUAGGAAAAGAGAACCAUGUUACAGGUGGAUCCAUUGAGAGCCAGUAUGAUCUACAGACUUGAGUGUUGUAAUACAACUCUGGUGACCAGGGUUUGAAUCUUUAUAUGGCCAUGAAAAUCCAUUGGUGAUGUUGGUCACAUCACACAGCCUCAGCCUCAGAGGAAGGCAAAGGAUUGCAAAAAAACAGUUUUAAUUAAUGCCAGUGCUACCUUCCAAUAAAGACAGUGGCAGAGAAAACAGCAAACUACCAUGUUUGAUUGAUGCACAUAAGCAAUCAUGAUGAACCACAUCUUAGCCCAGAUGUUUAAAACAGUUAAGCACUAAAACAGAAGAUAUGAAGACUUGGUACAAUUUCAGAAAGACAAGGCAUGGAAAUACCCAAACUAUUUCGAAGUCUUCAUUGUGCAGUUUAAAGUUAUGUAAAUCAUUUGUGGUCAUUGUUUUCUUAAUGUUCAACAGUAUAUCUGUCUUUGCAAUUUCUUCAGUAAUCAUUCCAAGUCUUGUUAUCUGCAUGUCUUAAAUUGUUCCUUCCUCCGUAUUCAUGUUUUCUUCUUCUCAGCUUAAUCAUUUUCAAUGAUAAGUUCAGUCAACUUUAAAUUUUAUCCUUGUACUGUUUUGCUAUAUCUCUCCUCACUAUAAAUGCCACCUUAUUUCUUCUAAGAUUUUCACUUCCUGAGUAAAAUGCUGCUUAAUUAUCUUACUCAAAGUGUUCUUUCUUGUUCACUUUAGCUCAUUCACCUCAAGUAUUGCAACGUUUAUACAUCCCAUGUCCUAUUUAAUUGCCUAGUGUUCUCUAAUUCAUGCUUCUGACAUUCCAUGUUCCUAUAAUAUGUAUUGUGCAGCUUUGGACUUUCCUCUGAGGAUUUAGCCAUGGCAGUUAAACAGGUGCCAAAUUGCAUUCUCCAGCAUAGAUGCACCCUGAGUCAGUACAAGUCUUAUACAAGGAUGAGCAAAUCCUGGAAGUCUAGGCAUCGAUAUCCAUCCACCUACUACUGACUUGGGGCACACAAGUCUUCUCAUCCCAAAUAAAAACACAAUUCGAAAUGGUGGGACAUUUCAGCCUUGCAGUUUUUCAAGACAAAGGUCUUCAUCAGACGGAGCUGUGGAAAGUGAGGGAAAUAGUUGUCUUUGUGUGUAGAAUUGUCUUCUUUGCCUAUGGGACUUUGCUGUUUUGAUUCCUGGUUUCUUGUGCCCUGGUCCAUGGAAUUGUUAUGGAACUGUGGAUUGGAUUUUCUGCUGAAACUCUAAAUUUUUGGAUUGAUUCUUUUUUUACUAUUUGUAUUGCUUUGCCUUUAGAUAGUCUACAAUAAACUGCUUGCUGAUUUAACCAAAUUGGUGUGCUGUUUACAGUCAAAGGGAUCCUGCCUCGGAGUGUGACAGAUUUUGUCUUUAAAGAAGACAUAGAAUUUACUUACCCAUAUCACAGAGGAUUGCCUCUGUCCACCUCUAGCUCAACCAUCCAUAAAGGAAACCCAAGAAACUAUUCUUAAGACAGUCACCACUUCUAUGGGUUCCUUUACUUUCCCUCUCAAUCCCCUUACUCUAGAGGAGAUCCAAGGCACUCUUCUAACUUUUUAUAGUUGGUAUAAAAAGGAACAAAAAGUUUUAAAGCUAUUUAUCAUGCAAAUUUGAAAGCCUAGAUUACUUAUGAAGGAAAAAAUGCAGCCAAAGCAAAGUGGUGAUAUUUUACAAUUGCGCUAUUCCUUAGGAUGAUUUUUUUUAAAUGUUCCAGGCUCAUGCAGAAAGAUUUUGUAAAAGAAGUGACACAUAGGAGACCGCCUAUAUGAACAUCAAUUCUUCCACAUCACAGAAAAGAUUGAUGUCUAGAAAAGCUCUAGAAGUGAAUGUAUCUCACCUUUUUUUAUGCUAUAGCCAUCUUCAGUUUAUAUCUAAUAGUGCAAUUCAUUUUAUCCCAGCUGUCACAAUCUUUCUGAAUUCUUUUUAAUGGGUAUUUAUUUCCUCCUAGAUAAAAAUGAAACAUGUUAUCCUAAUUCAUCCUAGGGGACUGGCCUAAGACAUUAUUUCAUUAUGUCAGGGCCUUUUCUGUUUAAUGUGUUUGCUUUGCCUGUCUCAAUGGCUCCAUAUGCAAGGUGUAAAUUUAAGCGAGGUUAAAUUGGCACCAUUCUCUCUCUUUCC